AUGUGUCCAAGCUCAUGGGAAAUGAGUAAAGAAGUCCAGCAAAGCUCUCCUGGGUUUAAGGAGAGAGAGUAACCAUCAGAAAAGGUAUUGAGGGUUGCUACAUGAGGUGAAGCUACCUGGGGCAUGGGAGAAUUGAUACAUUCGUCUAUUAAAAUACCUUCCUUUCUCCUUCAUCAUCUUCUUCCCUGUGUCUCCAGAUCCUCAUGUGUGGAGAAUUACUGAACUGCUACUUCCAGAAUUACAGUAGCUAAACUAAGAGAAACACAGAACCUUUAGAAAAGAAUGCUACACCCAUGUUUCUAAAAGCUUUGAACAUUACAAAGAGCCGUGGUGCUUUCAAAAGCACUCCCACCAACAAAUAGCACACAAAAGAAUAUACACUCUACAGUGAGGGGCAGAUGCUCCUUUGUAGAGUAAAUCUUAUGAUUGGAGAGAGAAACCAGGAAAAAUGUGCAGGAAGUCACUGAGACUCUAUCCAUCCUCUGCUGCCAAGACAAGCAAAGGCAAGAUGUCAAUGGGCCUUAGCCUUGCCCUUCCCAUCCUGAAGGUGUGACCCUGUAAUGCACACCCCAGCAGUCUGCAGGAUGUCAUUGACAAGAGCACCUUGUUAUGCAGUGUGCUUAGAGUCUUUCGAAGGGCUGGGAUUUUGGAGCUCAGAAAGAUGAUCUUCACCACGGCUGUGCCAGCGUGUGUCCUACUAAUCCACUCAGGUCUCACUGGAGGCAGCCCCCAGAUGGAAUUCUUCUCCAAGAUGUUAGCCACAGUUGGGCAGCAUGUGGUUCUGCCCUGCCGGUACACCACUGAGGACAGUUACAGGACUUUGAAUUUCUUUUGGUACUGCCAGCAUCUGGGAAGUUCCUUCAAAUAUGUCCUGGAAGCAUUUGGAUCUUCAGGGGAUAAUAAGUUUUGUGAUCACCAAUUUUCUGCGAUGGUCUAUGAAAAUAAAACAGCUCCCUUAGAAAUAGCAAAUGUUUCUUUCCAAGACACUGCAGUUUAUUAUUGUGGUGUGAAACACCAUGGUGAGUUAAACCCUGUUUUCACUCAUGCAAAAUCUGCAUCACCAAAAACAGCACCGGAGAAAAAGCUCUGCAAAAUCUACAUUGGCAGUGCUUUCAUCCCUGAAAUAAUUCUCUUCUUGACAUAAGAACAGUUCCAACAUCUUCUCCCACCCCAACACUUCUCUACAUUUCUUGAAGACCCCAUCUGUGCAGAGGUUCAGACUAGGGACUACAGGACAGUUUGCAGAUAAGCCAACAACACUCAUAGCUUCCCCCAUGUCCCACUUCAAGUAGGGCAGCUGGGGCGGUGCCCCUGGCCAGGUGCUUUGGAAGGAGAGAGGAGAUUGGCGUCUAUGUCUGUCCUAGACCAGGGAUGGUGGAGUGGUUGGGGAAUGUUAUCCCCUCCCCUCUGUGUGCUCACUGCCCAGCUUCUCAUAGCUCCUCAUGUUCUCUGUCUGCAGGGGUGUGAGCACAACUGAGUUGUUGAGGCUGGUGGUGGUCAGCAAGCACCUGGGGGACUCUGUGCUCCUUUCCUGCCAGAGAUAUGGCUUCACCUUGAUAAAUCAUCAUUUUUGGUAGUACCACCAGGCACUCAGUGGCAGUCUCGAGAGCAUCUCUUAUAUCAGCUAUAAUUCUUCAACCAUUCAAUACUUGCUGGGAGUAAAAGGCAGAGCCAUGGCUUCCAAGGACAAUUCUCAGUCCGUGGUAUCUCUGCUUUUGUGUGCCCUGCACCCUGAGGACUUGCUACUUUUGCCUGGUUCGCACAGCCACGGGAAAUACAACUGGAUUUCAAUAAAAAUCUGAUUCCAUGCCAGAGGAAGUAGCAGUCCUCAGCCUUACCCCACAACGCCUCUAGGAGUCGUCGUGGUUUAACCUGACAGGCAGCUAUAGAAUUCUUGGGUUGAAAUAAAAAGAGUGCAUGCUGUCAAAGCAAAAUAAACUAAAAUAAUUGACUAUUCAUCAGCAGGUAGAUAUUCCACCAUUUCUAGGAAAGCAAGGCUUCGUUAUGCCAUACAAAUGCCAUAGCUCUGAAUGUCCCCCUUUCUUCCAUCUUGUUCUUUCUUCAGAUUUUAUUAUUGAACAUGGCAUUAUACGCUGUGGAAUGUUUCUUUGGUCAUUUGGAGUCACGUUUUGGGCUUACGUGGCAAGGUUUUAGUAAAGAGUGUAACUGCAGAGAUGGCCCCUGUGAGGACGGUCCAGAAGUUGUCCCAUGUUAGGGAAGAGCCAGUUCCAGUCAGCUGAGAAAGGGACCUGCUGCUGACC
This 2261-nucleotide long non-coding RNA is filed under the name Pavo cristatus (Indian peafowl). Its description in RNAcentral is "lncRNA (ENSPSTG00000011777.1)". The record is from RNAcentral. Lineage: Eukaryota; Metazoa; Chordata; Aves; Galliformes; Phasianidae.